UUCGUUGCUCCUCCUGCACUUCCGCUACACUGGUCAGGCACGCAAGAGUGCAGGAGCGAUCGAGAAAGUUUCCAACUUUCAGGUCUACAAAGUUCCAAAUGAAUGGUUGCGGAGCUGGGUCAUCUGCGGUACAUCUUCUUCCUCGCUUGUGUCGGCGCUUCAGAUCGGACGCUGCUCUGGAAGCCAUAGCCAGAGCCCGCGACGAGCGAGUCCCGAAUCUCGCGCUCUACAAUUACCCAUCAUUCUCGGGUGCAUUCUCCGCUCUCUUCGCUCGCCUCUUCCACUCUCGCCUCCGCGUGCCUUGCCUCGUUUUGCCUUUCUCUUCUGUUGAACCCUUCAGAGUUGAGGAUUUGCAUAUCGCCGGACUGGAAAAAUGUUAUCUUCUUGACUUUCUUGGCCCAAAAGGAUUUGCAGCGAAGCUUGCACAGCAAUCUUUCUGCAAGAUAAUUGCAUUUGAGCACAGAAAGUCAGCUUUUUCACAUACUUCUGCCAAAGAGGAUUGCCCUGAGAACCUUGUUGUCCAUUUCAGUACUGAGAAGAGCAGCGCAACUGCUGUGUAUGAGUACUUUUCUGCUCAACUUGCGGAAAACAGAUCUACUAAUACGGAGCCGGGUCUUUUAGACCCCCAGGAUCAAGAGCGCAUGGAGAUGGUACUUAAGUAUAUUGAAGAUGGAGAUCUUCGCCAUUGGACCUUACCGGACAUCAAGGCUUUUAAUAUCGGAUUGAGUGAGAGGCGCUCAAAGUUAAAUUGCAUCACUAAUCCUUUCAUGUACGAACAGUUAUUGGAUAUAAGUGCUGCGGAUUUGAUUGCUAAAGGAAAUGCUUACAGCACUGCUAGACAGAACUCUGCAUCUAAGUUUCUGGAGAAAGUUUUUAAAGUUCGAUUAGGCAGGGGGCUUUAUGGGGAAUGUCUGGGAAUCAGGGCUGAUGGGAUUUCUGAUUUAAGCGAUGAAAUUGGCAAGCAAUUAAGUGUAAAGAGUGCAGCAUCGGGCUUGAGGCCUAUUGGAGCUGUGGCUUACAUGCAGCGGAAUAACCUGAAGAUGAGUUUGAGAAGCACUGAUGAUGCAACUGAUACUUCAGAAGUUGCAAAGGCAUAUGGUGGAGGCGGUACCCCCGCUUCUAGUUCCUUUAUCAUAAGGAUGGAUGAGUAUAAUCACUGGCUUUCAGUGAAUUCACCCUGAGUACAUAUUGUCAAUGUCUCUUGGACGAUGGUUGGUGCUCUAGUCAGCUGAUUAAGAGGCAUAAAUCCCACAAGGUUCAGCUAUAUCAGUGAUGAUACUAAUGGGAAGGGUGAACACAAAUGCAAGAGCACUAGCAAAGAGAAGCCCCCACCAUGGCAUUUGGACCUGAUCAUUCAGGAAGAUGCAUAGAGCAAGAGAUACCACCAGACUUACAACGAGCAACAAGGGAAACCACCACGAGGGUAUGUCUUUGUAUCGCCUCAUCAAUUUUGUAUGGAUAUCUGCCUUCCCUUUGUGAGAAGCACGAUAGCGCUCGUAGAUCUCUCUGUUGAAUGUUAUUGUAUAUCAUUGUCUAUGUGUCACAUGAAUUCUAGAAAAUCAUGUACUUUACAGGAAAAAAAAAUACUAUUCUGAUUCUUUAGAGUUUUUUCAUUAUCUAGGUGUUACGUCUCUGUGUUAUAACUAUAAGGAUCACCUUAGUUUGCAGAAAAGUUAUUUGAAACUGUAAAUUCAGAUUCUUUCAAGGUUCCAUUUUCAGAUCUUUACAGCCUUGCCCUGGUAUUUUCUUUCUGCAUGCUGCUUGAUGUCCUAAUCAAGUACUCGAGAGAUAAAAUCUAAAUGAACGUAUCAAGGUGAGAAGAUAGUACCUGCCAUAGAAGAAGGCCACAUGAGUUAGUGUUGAUGCAAUGGUGGCAAAACCAAAGCCGUAGGAGAGAGCAAAAAACAUGCUUAAAUGAAUUUGGCCUUGCUCCUCGUACUUUGGGAUGUCCAACUCGAACUUGUCAUUUACGAUUGCCGUUAUAUUGUAUCUUUCACCUUGCGCCGUGAACAAGUGCGAGGAAAAAAUAGCAAAUCUAUUUGCACUAUACACGUUAAACCCCCAAUAGGCUAUGGGGAUUACAACAUAGAUUAUUAAUGUGUAUCCCACGAAAACAUUGACUAUGGCAAAAAAGGGGCAGAUUAGAGGGCUGAACAGGAAGGAUGCCACUGCUGCCCAGUCGAGCGUCAAGGCUCCAAGUCCAAGGCCUCGCAUACCCGAGCCAAUCUGCUGGGCGGUGAUUGAGUUGGAGAAUGCCCAGCAGAUCCAUGAUAUAUUUGUGAGCGUGGAAAAGAGGUAUCCGGGGACAACAUACCAUGAGAAGCUGCAGAUCAGCGCAAUGAGGAAGAAUUUUGCCCGCGACAUGCGCUGUUCAUCCCUCUCAUGUAAAGCCCUGCAUCAAUUUAAAUAGAAUGACCUACUUCAGGUCAUGCACUAAUUGUCUACAUGAAAUGAAGUGCAAACUGUGGAUACUUUGGGACAGUUCUGAAAUUAUCAUAUUAUUUUGUGAAUGCAUCUGUCGAUUGACAAGAA
This is an RNA transcript of Syzygium oleosum, 2532 nucleotides long. RefSeq lists it as uncharacterized. Lineage: Eukaryota; Viridiplantae; Streptophyta; Magnoliopsida; Myrtales; Myrtaceae. The transcript is spliced from 10 exons. The record is from RefSeq and is a predicted model, not a curated record.